Molecule: transfer RNA, 65 nt
Filed under: Camelus bactrianus (Bactrian camel)
Lineage: Eukaryota; Metazoa; Chordata; Mammalia; Artiodactyla; Camelidae
Also listed under: 2 other names
Rfam family: tRNA
About the family: Transfer RNA (tRNA) molecules are approximately 80 nucleotides in length. Their secondary structure includes four short double-helical elements and three loops (D, anti-codon, and T loops).
Source: Rfam by way of RNAcentral
GGUAUAGCUCAGUGGUAGAGCACAUGCUUAGCAUGCAUGAGGUCCUGGGUUCAAUCCCCAGUACC